Molecule: unclassified non-coding RNA, 378 nt
Filed under: uncultured Actinomycetes bacterium
Lineage: Bacteria; Bacillati; Actinomycetota; Actinomycetes
Description: uncultured actinobacterium contains 16S-23S intergenic spacer region
Source: RNAcentral
UCCGAGUUGACCCCGGCAGUCUCCCAUGAGUCCCCGCCAUUACGCGCUGGCAACAUGGAACGAGGGUUGCGCUCGUUGCGGGACUUAACCCAACAUCUCACGACACGAGCUGACGACAACCAUGCACCACCUGUGACGGUGCUCCGAAGAGAGUCCCUGUUUCCAGGGUUUUCACCGACAUGUCAAGCCCAGGUAAGGUUCUUCGCGUUGCGUCGAAUUAAACCACAUGCUCCGCUGCUUGUGCGGGCCCCCGUCAAUUCCUUUGAGUUUUAGCCUUGCGGCCGUACUCCCCAGGCGGGGUGCUUAAUGCGUUAGCUUCGGCACGGACGGAGUUGACACCGCCCACACCUAGCACCCAUCGUUUACGGCGUGGACUAC